AAAGUUUAGCUCAAACAUCUCCUUAGAAGCAUGCUCGCCAGAUUCGCAAAAGCCGACAAGCUUUGCAACAACUUCUGCACUCUCUCUUACAUGUUGCAUGUUAAGAGGGUCUGUCCACAACUUGUUUACCAGUUGCAGCCUCCUCUGUUUUCCUGCCGGUGGGAUAUCCCAUUUUAGGUAAAGCAUCUCUCUUUCUUCUGCACUUAGUCUCGAGCUCACCAUCUUUGCUAAAUAUUCUCUCUCCUGCUUAAGGGACUUAAUACUGUAUUCAAAACCAAAUCAUUAGAAAUCAUCAAAGCAUAUUUACCCUUUAAUUAGUUGCUCAGGGAUAUCAACAAAAGACACUUAAAAUACCUACCUUGAUGAAACAGAGCCUGCAGGUUCAUCACCCAAGAGUGCUGGGCUUGCAUUUCCAAGUUCCGCCAAGUGCUGCUCCAACCAUGUCAACCUUCUUAGCUCAACUUCUAUAUAGAUCUGAUCAGCGGGGUCUCCUCUGAAUAACAUGUAGAAUUGUGUACGAUGAACGAUUGACACAUGGCACAAAUGCCACAACAUGAUAAUUUGCUUUCUCUGUUCCUCAAACACCAAGUGCCAUGAAACAGGAGAUUGAUCAACAAUAUCAGUCUCAUCACUUGGACCCUCAUUUGCCUCAAGCUCCAAGACCUGGUACCGUUAAUUAAAUAUCAUAGAACAUAUUAACCGAAGUUUAGAACUCAUUUAGCAUUAUUAUAUCAAUGACAGAAAUAUCAAAUAGGUCCUACGCGAUCACAUGAAAAUGAUGUGGGCAUAAUUCAUGUCCAAGACAAAAACAAAAUAACUUUACUCUACACAUAUAUACUCAUAUCUUUAUUCAAGUAAGUGAUCCAAAACAAUUUAUCUAUUGAAGAAGGAAAGAGUCAAAAUUUUAUAAUAUAUGGGAUGGUCAAUUAUUUCAUGUAAAGCUAGAGAGAGAUUAUGACCAAUUCAAUUAUACUUGUAGCUGCUGAAACCAGGUGAGAACACAACUUAUGUUAUAACAACUAUGUCGAUGAUCCAAUCUGGUCUACAACCAAAUGGGGCCCUAAACAAGUGACAUGUAAAGUACUAUCCAAACCAACAAGUCAUGACAUAAGGAACCUGUUCAUACCAAACUGAAAUUGAUUUGUCAUACCUAAGGUACAGAUCUUAUCUUAAUCUUUACACGGAGACUUUAUUUAAAUUGUAACCCAUAUUCUGUUGAUCUAAUUCACUGAAAUAUAUGAAGGAAAAGGGAAAACUCACCUGGCAAACGAGAAGCUGCUUUUGAUAUUGGAGCUUUGCUACUCGUUCUUUCAGCUCAGUAACAUAAGCUUUGAUGCUCUGUAUAUUCUCCUCAGC
RNAcentral lists this long non-coding RNA (1356 nucleotides) under Panax ginseng (ginseng). RNAcentral's name for it is "long non-coding RNA (PGIN_LNC013464)". Lineage: Eukaryota; Viridiplantae; Streptophyta; Magnoliopsida; Apiales; Araliaceae. The record is from RNAcentral.